Long non-coding RNA from Pseudopipra pipra, 865 nucleotides. RefSeq lists it as uncharacterized. The record is from RefSeq and is a predicted model, not a curated record. The transcript is spliced from 3 exons. NCBI's taxonomy places the organism in Eukaryota, Metazoa, Chordata, Aves, Passeriformes, Pipridae.
AAGAGGAAUCUUGCUCAGUGCAAGAAGUUGCACUUGAUGAACUUCCCAUCUGAGCUGAUGCCCUUGGCAGGAGAAGUGCUCAGCAAGGAGGCUCUUUGCUCCUAGGCAGGAAGAAAGGCCAGUGCCCUUCCUCCCCAAGGCCCAGCCCAGCAGGGCUGGCAGGAGCUGCUGGUGUGGCUGCUCUUUGGGUUCUCAGCUGUGGCUGUGGGGUGGUGACAUCGUGUUCCUGCCUGUGCUCCAGGGCAGCCAAAAGCCCAGCCCAGCCCCUGGGCCUUUUUGGGAGCCUGAGCUAUUGUAGUACUGGGGAUGGGGGUUUGGGUUUUUGUUUCCCUAAAAGUAGAACCACUGGGGGGGAUCUCUUAUCUCACAGUUGUUGUUGUUUUGAUAUCUUAAUUAAUUACAACUUGAGAAGAAAAGCUUGUGUAACUUAGGAACUGACUUGCACUGGUUACACUGAAAGUGCCAAGGAGUUGUAGUGUCCACUGGAUUGUUUGUAUUGAAGCAGUUUGUUGUUUACAGAGGGAUAAUAACUCCUGUCAGCAGCAAGGUCCCGACUGAAGUGGCAGCUGCAGUUGUUCCUGUGGUGUGGGCCAGUGGAAUUCCAAGAAAAUGGACAAGGACAGAAGCUGUAAGAAUUACCCCUAAGCCAGAGUCUCUCCUGGCAGAAGAGCCCAGGCCUGAGCUGGCUGAGUGUUGGUGUGAGCCAGAGUGGGUGUCCCUGCCCUCGGGCCAGUCCCCAGAGCUGCCUUUGGCAUCCCCUGCUGAAGGGUGGGAGCUGCCCAGAGCCAGCAGCAUCCAGCUGGAGGAUCCAGGAGGAUGCAGCUCUGCUUUGCUGGGAGCUUGUCCAGGAGAUGGAAUUCCAGUG